This 468-nucleotide ribosomal RNA is filed under the name uncultured bacterium. RNAcentral describes it as "bacterial SSU rRNA". It matches the Rfam family "Bacterial small subunit ribosomal RNA", at positions 28 to 507 of the family's 1533-position model. The record is from RNAcentral.
GAUGAACGCUGGCGGCGUGCCUAACACAUGCAAGUCGAACGGACUUACAUUGAAGCCUAGCGAUAUGUAAGUUAGUGGCGGACGGGUGAGUAACGCGUGGGUAACCUGCCUUGUACUGGGGGACAACAGUUGGAAACGACUGCUAAUACCGCAUAAGCGCACAGCUUCGCAUGAAGCAGUGUGAAAAACUCCGGUGGUACAAGAUGGUCCCGCGUCUGAUUAGCUUGUUGGCGGGGUAAAGGCCCACCAAGGCGACGAUCAGUAGCCGACCUGAGAGGGUGACCGGCCACAUUGGGACUGAGACACGGCCCAAACUCCUACGGGAGGCAGCAGUGGGGAAUAUUGCACAAUGGAGGAAACUCUGAUGCAGCGACGCCGCGUGAGCGAUGAAGUAUUUCGGUAUGUAAAGCUCUAUCAGCAGGGAAGAUAAUGACGGUACCAGACUAAGAAGCUCCGGCUAAAUACGUG